Molecule: ribosomal RNA, 466 nt
Filed under: uncultured bacterium
Lineage: Bacteria
Description: partial 16S ribosomal RNA
Rfam family: Bacterial small subunit ribosomal RNA
Source: RNAcentral
GAUGAACGCUGGCGGCGUGCUUAACACAUGCAAGUCGAACGAUGAAGCCCAGCUUGCUGGGUGGUUUAGUGGCGAACGGGUGAGUAACACGUGCGUAACCUGCCCUUCACUCUGGGAUAAGCCAGGGAAACUGGGUCUAAUACCGGAUAGGAGCGUCCACCGCCUGGAGGGUGCUGGAAUGAUUUAUCGGUUUUAGGUGGCCUCGCGGCCUAUCCGCUUGUUGGUGAGGUAAUGGCACACCAAGGCGAUGCCGGGUAGCCGGCCUGAGAGGGUGAACGGCCACACUGGGACUGAGACACGGCGCAGACUCCUACGGGAGGCAGCGGGGGAGAAUAUUGCACAAUGGGCGCAAGCCUGAUGCAGCGACGCCGCGUGAGGGAUGACGGCCUUCGGGUUGUAAACCUCUGUCAGUAGAGAAGAAGCGAAAGUGACGGUACCUGCAGAAGAAGCACCGGCUAACUACGUG